Molecule: non-coding RNA, 127 nt
Organism: Triticum aestivum (bread wheat)
Lineage: Eukaryota; Viridiplantae; Streptophyta; Magnoliopsida; Poales; Poaceae
Source: Rfam
GUAAUACUCCCUCCUUCCGGAAAUACUUGUCGUCGAAAUGGAUAAAAAGAAAUGUAUCUAGAACUAAAAGAUACAUCUUCUUUUAUCCAUUUUGAUGACAAGUAUUUUCGGAUGAAGGGAGUACUCA